GUCCAUCACAAAAGCCGAGCCCCUGAAGAAGAUGAAAGGAAAAAGAGGCGACGAGAAAGAAAUAAGAUUGCAGCUGCAAAGUGCCGAAACAAGAAGAAGGAGAAGACGGAGUGCCUGCAGAAAGAGUCGGAGAAGCUGGAAAGUGUGAAUGCUGAACUGAAGGCUCAGAUUGAGGAGCUCAAGAACGAGAAGCAGCAUUUGAUAUACAUGCUCAACCUUCAUCGGCCCACGUGUAUUGUCCGGGCUCAGAAUGGGAGGACUCCAGAAGAUGAGAGAAACCUCUUUAUCCAACAGAUAAAAGAAGGAACAUUGCAGAGCUAAGCAGUCGUGGUAUGGGGGCGACUGGGGAGUCCUCAUUGAAUCCUCAUUUUAUACCCAAAACCCUGAAGCCAUUGGAGAGCUGUCUUCCUGUGUACCUCUAGAAUCCCAGCAGCAGAGAACCAUCAAGGCGGGAGGGCCUGCAGUGAUUCAGCAGGCCCUUCCCAUUCUGCCCCAGAGUGGGUCUUGGACCAGGGCAAGUGCAUCUUUGCCUCAACUCCAGGAUUUAGGCCUUAACACACUGGCCAUUCUUAUGUUCCAGAUGGCCCCCAGCUGGUGUCCUGCCCGCCUUUCAUCUGGAUUCUACAAAAAACCAGGAUGCCCACCGUUAGGAUUCAGGCAGCAGUGUCUGUACCUCGGGUGGGAGGGAUGGGGCCAUCUCCUUCACCGUGGCUACCAUUGUCACUCGUAGGGGAUGUGGAGUGAGAACAGCAUUUAGUGAAGUUGUGCAACGGCCAGGGUUGUGCUUUCUAGCAAAUAUGCUGUUAUGUCCAGAAAUUGUGUGUGCAAGAAAACUAGGCAAUGUACUCUUCCGAUGUUUGUGUCACACAACACUGAUGUGACUUUUAUAUGCUUUUUCUCAGAUCUGGUUUCUAAGAGUUUUGGGGGGCGGGGCUGUCACCACGUGCAGUAUCUCAAGAUAUUCAGGUGGCCAGAAGAGCUUGUCAGCAAGAGGAGGACAGAAUUCUCCCAGCGUUAACACAAAAUCCAUGGGCAGUAUGAUGGCAGGUCCUCUGUUGCAAACUCAGUUCCAAAGUCACAGGAAGAAAGCAGAAAGUUCAACUUCCAAAGGGUUAGGACUCUCCACUCAAUGUCUUAGGUCAGGAGUUGUGUCUAGGCUGGAAGAGCCAAAGAAUAUUCCAUUUUCCUUUCCUUGUGGUUGAAAACCACAGUCAGUGGAGAGAUGUUUGGAAACCACAGUCAGUGGAGCCUGGGUGGUACCCAGGCUUUAGCAUUAUUGGAUGUCAAUAGCAUUGUUUUUGUCAUGUAGCUGUUUUAAGAAAUCUGGCCCAGGGUGUUUGCAGCUGUGAGAAGUCACUCACACUGGCCACAAGGACGCUGGCUACUGUCUAUUAAAAUUCUGAUGUUUCUGUGAAAUUCUCAGAGUGUUUAAUUGUACUCAAUGGUAUCAUUACAAUUUUCUGUAAGAGAAAAUAUUACUUAUUUAUCCUAGUAUUCCUAACCUGUCAGAAUAAUAAAUAUUGGAACCAAGACAUGGU
Molecule: long non-coding RNA, 1538 nt
Filed under: Homo sapiens (human)
Lineage: Eukaryota; Metazoa; Chordata; Mammalia; Primates; Hominidae
Description: long non-coding RNA NONHSAT150473.1
Source: RNAcentral